AUACGUAGGUGGCAAGCGUUGUCCGGAUUUAUUGGGCGUAAAGCGAGUGCAGGCGGUUUCUUAAGUCUGAUGUGAAAGCCUUCGGCUUAACCGAAGAAGGGCAUCGGAAACUGGGGAACUUGAGUGCAGAAGAGGAGAGUGGAACUCCAUGUGUAGCGGUGAAAUGCGUAGAUAUAUGGAAGAACACCAGUGGCGAAGGCGGCUCUCUGGUCUGUAACUGACGCUGAGGCUCGAAAGCGUGGGUAGCAAACAGGAUUAGAUACCCUGGUAGUCCACGCCGUAAACGAUGAGUGCUAAGUGUUGGGGGGUUUCCGCCCCUCAGUGCUGCAGCUAACGCAUUAAGCACUCCGCCUGGGGAGUACGACCGCAAGGUUGAA
Molecule: ribosomal RNA, 377 nt
Filed under: uncultured Lactobacillus sp.
Lineage: Bacteria; Bacillati; Bacillota; Bacilli; Lactobacillales; Lactobacillaceae
Description: bacterial SSU rRNA
Rfam family: Bacterial small subunit ribosomal RNA
Source: RNAcentral